RNAcentral lists this ribosomal RNA (238 nucleotides) under uncultured bacterium. RNAcentral describes it as "partial 16S ribosomal RNA". It matches the Rfam family "Bacterial small subunit ribosomal RNA", at positions 105 to 334 of the family's 1533-position model. The record is from RNAcentral.
CCGGGGUAGGAGGUAACGCGUGAGGAACCUGCCUCAAAGAGGGGGACAACAGUUGGAAACGACUGCUAAUACCGCAUAAGCCCACGGCUCGGCAUCGAGCAGAGGGAAAAGGAGCAAUCCGCUUUGAGAUGGCCUCGCGUCCGAUUAGCUGGUUGGUGAGGUAACGGCCCACCAAGGCGACGAUCGGUAGCCGGACUGAGAGGUUGAACGGCCACAUUGGGACUGAGACACGGCCCAG